UCCCAAGUAGAUAAGAUUUGAUGCAACCGUCUCCCCUGAUCUCGCGGAAGCAAUUGAGGGCUGAAUUGUCUCGUCCAGUUUGGAAUGUCCAACGAUCCGGUAAUCUCGGAAUCGUGCAAUCUCACAGUUAACAACCCAGCUAUUCGACAUCCUUCUAUAUAAAUAAUCAGAGCUCUGAGGAUCCAAGUAAGUACAAUCAAAUCCUUCUUAGAGAACUCAUUGCUGCUUUUUUAUUCUUUAUUUUUCUGACUUGAGCAUCGAAAGAUCCUCACCGGAGCCGCAACCUUCAAUUUGGGACUUGUUUUGUAGGUCAC
This 314-nucleotide long non-coding RNA is filed under the name Elaeis guineensis (African oil palm). RNAcentral describes it as "long non-coding RNA (EGUI_LNC053603)". The record is from RNAcentral. Lineage: Eukaryota; Viridiplantae; Streptophyta; Magnoliopsida; Arecales; Arecaceae.